CUAAGAAUCUUGCGCAAUGGGCGAAAGCCUGACGCAGCAACGCCGCGUGGAGGACGAAGGCCUUCGGGUCGUAAACUCCUUUUGCGAGGGAAGAAGAUCUGACGGUACCUCGCGAAUAAGCCACGGCUAACUACGUGCCAGCAGCCGCGGUAAUACGUAGGUGGCAAGCGUUGUCCGGAUUUACUGGGCGUAAAGAGCCCGCAGGCGGUCCAAUAAGUUCUUGGUGAAAUCUCCUGGCUCAACUGGGAGGGUGCCUGGAAAACUGUUGGACUUGAGGCAGGGAGAGGGAUGUGGAAUUCCCGGUGUAGUGGUGAAAUGCGUAGAUAUCGGGAGGAACACCAGUGGCGAAGGCGGCAUCCUGGCCCUGUCCUGACGCUCAGGGGCGAAAGCGUGGGGAGCAAACCGGAUUAGAUACCCAAGUAGUCCCUGAGCGGGCUGGCAAGGCGCAU
RNAcentral lists this ribosomal RNA (449 nucleotides) under uncultured bacterium. RNAcentral's name for it is "bacterial SSU rRNA". It matches the Rfam family "Bacterial small subunit ribosomal RNA", at positions 355 to 825 of the family's 1533-position model. The record is from RNAcentral.